RNAcentral lists this ribosomal RNA (228 nucleotides) under uncultured bacterium. RNAcentral's name for it is "partial 16S ribosomal RNA". It matches the Rfam family "Bacterial small subunit ribosomal RNA", at positions 568 to 795 of the family's 1533-position model. The record is from RNAcentral.
UCCGUAGGUGGAUAAUUAAGUCAGAGGUGAAAUCCUGCAGCUCAACUGUAGAAUUGCCUUUGAUACUGGUUAUCUUGAGUCAUUAUGAAGUGGUUAGAAUGUGUAGUGUAGCGGUGAAAUGCAUAGAUAUUACACAGAAUACCGAUUGCGAAGGCAGAUCACUAAUAAUGUACUGACACUGAGGGACGAAAGAGGGGGGAGCGAACAGGAUUAGAUACCCUGGUAGUC